AUAGUACCGAUCGUUGAAACGAUCCCGGUCUGGAUCGACCAUCGCGUCAUGGUGACAUCCUUCAGUGCCGAGAAAACGCUCACAAAGGACACCGUCCCUGUUGACGUGGACGCGGUCUUAUUUUGGUUGGU
RNAcentral lists this ribosomal RNA (131 nucleotides) under uncultured eukaryote. RNAcentral's name for it is "partial small subunit ribosomal RNA". The record is from RNAcentral.